GUGCUCACCUUGGAAGCACAUAUAUGAGAAUUGGAAUGAUACAGAGAAGAUUAGCAUGGGCCCUGUGCAAGAAUGACAUGCAAGUUCGUGAAGCAUUUAAUAUUAAA
RNAcentral lists this small nuclear RNA (107 nucleotides) under Jaculus jaculus (lesser Egyptian jerboa). The record is from RNAcentral. Lineage: Eukaryota; Metazoa; Chordata; Mammalia; Rodentia; Dipodidae.